Non-coding RNA from Gallus gallus (chicken), 114 nucleotides. The record is from Rfam. Lineage: Eukaryota; Metazoa; Chordata; Aves; Galliformes; Phasianidae.
CCCAGCUAUGGUGACAUGGUGCCCAAGACCAUCGCCGGGAAGAUCUUCGGCUCCAUCUGCUCGCUGAGCGGGGUGCUGGUCAUCGCCCUGCCAGUUCCUGUAAUUGUCUCCAAC